Molecule: ribosomal RNA, 606 nt
Filed under: uncultured bacterium
Lineage: Bacteria
Description: bacterial SSU rRNA
Rfam family: Bacterial small subunit ribosomal RNA
Source: RNAcentral
AGAGUUUGAUCCUGGCUCAGAACGAACGCUGGCGGCGCGCCUAAUACAUGCAAGUCGAGCGAGAAGGUGUAGCAAUACACUUGUAAAGCGGCGAACGGGUGAGGAAUACAUGGGUAAUCUACCAUCGAGUGGGGAAUAACCAGCCGAAAGGUUGGCUAAUACCGCGUACGCCUCCGAAUCUUCGGGUUCGGAGGGAAAGCCACGCUGUGAGUGCGGCGCUCUUUGAUGAGCUCAUGUCCUAUCAGCUUGUUGGUAGGGUAACGGCCUACCAAGGCUUUGACGGGUAGCUGGUCUGAGAGGACGAUCAGCCACACUGGCACUGCGACACGGGCCAGACUCCUACGGGAGGCAGCAGUAAGGAAUAUUGCGCAAUGGGCGAAAGCCUGACGCAGCGACGCCGCGUGGGGGAUGAAGGUCUUCGGAUUGUAAACCCCUUUCGGGAGGGAAGAUGGAGCGAGCAAUCGUUCGGACGGUACCUCCAGAAGCAGCCACGGCCAACUUCGUGCCAGCAGCCGCGGUAAUACGAAGGUGGCAAGCGUUGUUCGGAUUCACUGGGCGUACAGGGUGUGUAGGCGGUUUGGUAAGCCUUCUGUUAAAGCUUCGGGC